RNAcentral lists this ribosomal RNA (670 nucleotides) under uncultured marine bacterium. Its description in RNAcentral is "bacterial SSU rRNA". It matches the Rfam family "Bacterial small subunit ribosomal RNA", at positions 59 to 774 of the family's 1533-position model. The record is from RNAcentral.
AAGUCGAACGGGGUAGCAAUACCUAGUGGCAGACGGGUGAGUAACAUGUGGGUACCUUCCCUUUGGUGAGGAAUAACACGAGGAAACUUGUGCUAAUACCUCAUAAGUCUUUACGGAGAAAGCUUUAUGCGCCAAUGGAUGGGCCCGCACUUGAUUAGUUAGUUGGUAGGGUAAUGGCCUACCAAGACUUUGAUCAAUAGCUGAUUUGAGAGGAUGAUCAGCCACAUUGGGACUGAGACACGGCCCAAACUCCUACGGGAGGCAGCAGUAGGGAAUCUUGCACAAUGGAGGAAACUCUGAUGCAGCGAUGCCGCGUGAGUGAAGAAGGCCCUUGGGUUGUAAAGCUCUUUCGUCGGGGAAGAAAAUGACUGUACCCGAAUAAGAAGGUCCGGCUAACUUCGUGCCAGCAGCCGCGGUAAUACGAAGGGACCUAGCGUAGUUCGGAAUUACUGGGCUUAAAGAGUUCGUAGGUGGUUAAAAAAGUUGGUGGUGAAAUCCCAGAGCUUAACUCUGGAACUGCCAUCAAAACUUUUUAGCUAGAGUAUGAUAGAGGAAAGCAGAAUUUCUAGUGUAGAGGUGAAAUUCGUAGAUAUUAGAAAGAAUACCAAUUGCGAAGGCAGCUUUCUGGAUCAUUACUGACGCUGAGGAACGAAAGCAUGGGUAGCGAAGA